RNAcentral lists this long non-coding RNA (184 nucleotides) under Pan troglodytes (chimpanzee). RNAcentral's name for it is "lncRNA (ENSPTRG00000054568.1)". Lineage: Eukaryota; Metazoa; Chordata; Mammalia; Primates; Hominidae. The record is from RNAcentral.
AGUCCUUCCCCUCAGCUGCAGUGCUUCACUCCGCAAAACAAGAAACAGCAACAUGGGACUUUUCUAGUACAUUCCUUGGGAAACUUGGUAUGUCCUGCUUGAAAGAAAAGCCCAAAUAAGACUGCCAAGAUCAUCCAGAGGGACAGCCAGAACAGGAAGCCAGUCUAACUGCACUCUGAUGACA